RNAcentral lists this transfer RNA (85 nucleotides) under Serratia entomophila. Its description in RNAcentral is "tRNA-Glu(ttc)". Lineage: Bacteria; Pseudomonadati; Pseudomonadota; Gammaproteobacteria; Enterobacterales; Yersiniaceae. The record is from RNAcentral.
GAGUUGUAUGUCUUCGGCGGUCAAAGAAAGCGGGCUUUCGUCCUGCUCCAGGGCGGCCAUUUGCUGUUCGAUCAGCAUCAGCACG